Molecule: ribosomal RNA, 1375 nt
Filed under: Vibrio parahaemolyticus
Lineage: Bacteria; Pseudomonadati; Pseudomonadota; Gammaproteobacteria; Vibrionales; Vibrionaceae
Description: bacterial SSU rRNA
Rfam family: Bacterial small subunit ribosomal RNA
Source: RNAcentral
AAAUUGAAGAGUUUGAUCAUGGCUCAGAUUGAACGCUGGCGGCAGGCCUAACACAUGCAAGUCGAGCGGAAACGAGUUAUAGGUAAGGGCUCACCAAGGCGACGAUCCCUAGCUGGUCUGAGAGGAUGAUCAGCCACACUGGAACUGAGACACGGUCCAGACUCCUACGGGAGGCAGCAGUGGGGAAUAUUGCACAAUGGGCGCAAGCCUGAUGCAGCCAUGCCGCGUGUGUGAAGAAGGCCUUCGGGUUGUAAAGCACUUUCAGUCGUGAGGAAGGUAGUGUAGUUAAUAGCUGCAUUAUUUGACGUUAGCGACAGAAGAAGCACCGGCUAACUCCGUGCCAGCAGCCGCGGUAAUACGGAGGGUGCGAGCGUUAAUCGGAAUUACUGGGCGUAAAGCGCAUGCAGGUGGUUUGUUAAGUCAGAUGUGAAAGCCCGGGGCUCAACCUCGGAAUUGCAUUUGAAACUGGCAGACUAGAGUACUGUAGAGGGGGGUAGAAUUUCAGGUGUAGCGGUGAAAUGCGUAGAGAUCUGAAGGAAUACCGGUGGCGAAGGCGGCCCCCUGGACAGAUACUGACACUCAGAUGCGAAAGCGUGGGGAGCAAACAGGAUUAGAUACCCUGGUAGUCCACGCCGUAAACGAUGUCUACUUGGAGGUUGUGGCCUUGAGCCGUGGCUUUCGGAGCUAACGCGUUAAGUAGACCGCCUGGGGAGUACGGUCGCAAGAUUAAAACUCAAAUGAAUUGACGGGGGCCCGCACAAGCGGUGGAGCAUGUGGUUUAAUUCGAUGCAACGCGAAGAACCUUACCUACUCUUGACAUCCAGAGAACUUUCCAGAGAUGGAUUGGUGCCUUCGGGAACUCUGAGACAGGUGCUGCAUGGCUGUCGUCAGCUCGUGUUGUGAAAUGUUGGGUUAAGUCCCGCAACGAGCGCAACCCUUAUCCUUGUUUGCCAGCGAGUAAUGUCGGGAACUCCAGGGAGACUGCCGGUGAUAAACCGGAGGAAGGUGGGGACGACGUCAAGUCAUCAUGGCCCUUACGAGUAGGGCUACACACGUGCUACAAUGGCGCAUACAGAGGGCRGCCAACUUGCGAAAGUGAGCGAAUCCCAAAAAGUGCGUCGUAGUCCGGAUUGGAGUCUGCAACUCGACUCCAUGAAGUCGGAAUCGCUAGUAAUCGUGGAUCAGAAUGCCACGGUGAAUACGUUCCCGGGCCUUGUACACACCGCCCGUCACACCAUGGGAGUGGGCUGCAAAAGAAGUAGGUAGUUUAACCUUCGGGGGGACGCUUACCACUUUGUGGUUCAUGACUGGGGUGAAGUCGUAACAAGGUAGCGCUAGGGGAACCUGGCGCUGGAUCACCUCCUUAAACGAUGAU